This 485-nucleotide ribosomal RNA is filed under the name Cryptosporidium sp. mouse genotype II. Its description in RNAcentral is "SSU rRNA". It matches the Rfam family "Eukaryotic small subunit ribosomal RNA", at positions 378 to 890 of the family's 1831-position model. Lineage: Eukaryota; Apicomplexa; Conoidasida; Eucoccidiorida; Cryptosporidiidae. The record is from RNAcentral.
CGAUUCCGGAGAGGGAGCCUGAGAAACGGCUACCACAUCUAAGGAAGGCAGCAGGCGCGCAAAUUACCCAAUCCUAAUACAGGGAGGUAGUGACAAGAAAUAACAAUACAGGACUUUAUUAGUUUUGUAAUUGGAAUGAGUUAAGUAUAAACCCCUUUACAAGUAUCAAUUGGAGGGCAAGUCUGGUGCCAGCAGCCGCGGUAAUUCCAGCUCCAAUAGCGUAUAUUAAAGUUGUUGCAGUUAAAAAGCUCGUAGUUGGAUUUCUGUUAAUAAUUUAUAUAUAAUAUUUUAAUAUAUUUAUAUAAUAUUAACAUAAUUCAUAUUACUAUAUUAAUUUUAGUAUAUGAAAUUUUACUUUGAGAAAAUUAGAGUGCUUAAAGCAGGCAUAUGCCUUGAAUACUCCAGCAUGGAAUAAUAUAAAAGAUUUUUAUCUUUUUUAUUGGUUCUAAGAUAAAAAUAAUGAUUAAUAGGGACAGUUGGGGGCA